UUGUCAGCCAAGGUAAAUAUCCUAAACAGGAAGGGAAUAGAAAAGAUCAGUAUAGCCCCUGAGCAAGGGUGACACAAACACUCCGAAGAGUUACAUUUCUAG
Ochotona princeps (American pika) is the source of this 102-nucleotide small nuclear RNA. The record is from Ensembl. NCBI's taxonomy places the organism in Eukaryota, Metazoa, Chordata, Mammalia, Lagomorpha, Ochotonidae.